GACGAACGCUGGCGGCGUGCUUAACACAUGCAAGUCGAACGGAAAGGCCCUGCUUUUGUGGGGUGCUCGAGUGGCGAACGGGUGAGUAACACGUGAGUAACCUGCCCUGGACUUUGGGAUAACUUCAGGAAACUGGGUCUAAUACCGGAUAGGAGCUCCUGCUGCAGGGUGGGGGGUGGAAAGUUUCGGCGGUUGGGGAUGGACUCGCGGCUUAUCAGCUUGUUGGUGGGGUAGUGGCUUACCAAGGCUUUGACGGGUAGCCGGCCUGAGAGGGUGAACGGCCACAUUGGGACUGAGAUACGGCCCAGACUCCUACGGGAGGCAGCAGUGGGGAAUAUUGCACAAUGGGCGGAAGCCUGAUGCAGCAACGCCGCGUGCGGGAUGACGGCCUUCGGGUUGUAAACCGCUUUCGCCUGUGACGAAGCGUGAGUGACGGUAAUGGGUAAAGAAGCACCGGCUAACUACGUG
This 468-nucleotide ribosomal RNA is filed under the name uncultured bacterium. Its description in RNAcentral is "partial 16S ribosomal RNA". It matches the Rfam family "Bacterial small subunit ribosomal RNA", at positions 28 to 507 of the family's 1533-position model. The record is from RNAcentral.